UUAGUCGAAACCAAAAAUUGAGGUAUAUCACUGUUAAUGAUAAAAUUGAAUAUCUAUUCCGUCUAAG
This 67-nucleotide transfer RNA is filed under the name Rugitermes sp. RNAcentral describes it as "tRNA-Asn". The record is from RNAcentral. Lineage: Eukaryota; Metazoa; Arthropoda; Insecta; Blattodea; Kalotermitidae.